RNAcentral lists this ribosomal RNA (408 nucleotides) under uncultured bacterium. Its description in RNAcentral is "partial 16S ribosomal RNA". It matches the Rfam family "Bacterial small subunit ribosomal RNA", at positions 28 to 526 of the family's 1533-position model. The record is from RNAcentral.
AUUGAACGCUGGCGGCAGGCCUAACACAUGCAAGUCGAACGAAGUGGCGAACGGGUGAGUAAUACGUGGGUAACCUGCCCUCCUUUUUGGGAUAAGCCUUUGAAACGGGGUCUAAUACCGAAUAAAGGGGGAUGGGCUCGCGGCCUAUCAGCUUGUUGGUGGGGUGAUGGCCUACCAAGGCGGUGACGGGUAGCCGGCCUGAGAGGGUGACCGGCAACAGGGGGAGUGAGAUACGGCCCAGGGUCCUACGGGGGGGAGCAGUGGGGGAUAUUGGAGAAUGGGCGAAAGCAUGAUGCAGCGACGACGCGUGGGGGAUGAAGGCUUUCGGGUUGUAAACCUCUUUCGGUAUCGAAAGGGUAGGUGGAGAAGAAGCGCCGGCUAACUACGUGCCAGCCGCCGCGGUAAUAC